GACUUUCCUCCUGUGAGCCAAUGAGGCCAGCUGGACUACGCCGAGACAACUGGGAGAGGCGCGGGACUCGCCCGUUCCGCGGAACGCCGGGAAGGGGUCACCUCCUGAUGAAGUUUCCGGUUCCGGUGUCAGCGGCGGUUGAAUUGCCAUGGCAAUGCGGUGGGCGCGCGCUUGUCGUGUUGGUCUCUUGGGAGGUAGCGGGGCUAGGCCGGGCGGGUAUCCGCCUCUCCCAGCUUAGAUUCAUUGAUUCCAGGUAAAUCAGAGGAACAAGCAACAUGAACAGAAAUAUGUAGAAAAAGCUAUUAUGCAGAAGCAUAAUUGUUGUUUCAGAAGUCCAGCAUCUGGUGCACUUAACAAUAGAGAAUAUAUUAAACUCUUUCCAAAAUAACCUGUUGUUCCUACCUGUGUUGUAAGUGUUUUGUUUGUUUUUAAGUAAAUAUUGGUGAUUUGUUGCCAAAAACCUAAACUGUUUGUUGCUGUCAACUUAAAUAACGAACAGAGAGAGGCUCUCUAAAAGAAAAUGGCAUUUAUUCAGGAAUAGAGCACUGCAAUGAGAAAAUGCAUGCGAUAGUUAACUGUGUGUAUCCUGGGAGAUAGAGGAAGACAAAGGUCUUUAAAGGAAAAAUGAGGAGGGUUACAUAAUUGUUUUGAGAUAAUUAUUUUUGACUACAAGGAUCAGUAACAAAGGUGACACCAGUCCCAGGUUGGACAGGCAGGUGCUCGGCAGGCAUUGCAGAAGUAUUUUUUGUGUAAGAUUGAGAUGGCCUUUGUGCAGGAUUGUGGUUUUGGAAUCUUCUGUGAUCGUUUUUGCUAUCAGGCAUUUAUGCUUGCGAACUCUUUAUGGCCUUCCCUGUGUCUAUUUUGAUUCCACCUUUCUCAUUGCCCACUCUAAACUGUAAUUCUGCUUUUAUGUUGACUGAGAUCAGGAGAAGAAUUUGCAAACUUAUAUCCUGAGACAGAACAGUAAUGAGGAGUAUCGUGUUCCUUACCUAAUGUAUAAUAUUGGGCUCAGAAGCAGUUGUCUUUUUUAUUUGUUGAACGUUGUAUUAAGUUGAGAAUGCAGCUGCCAUUAAAGAUU
This is a long non-coding RNA of Homo sapiens (human), 1078 nucleotides long. Ensembl annotates it as small nucleolar RNA host gene 10. Its record names the gene SNHG10. The record is from Ensembl. NCBI's taxonomy places the organism in Eukaryota, Metazoa, Chordata, Mammalia, Primates, Hominidae.